RNAcentral lists this long non-coding RNA (246 nucleotides) under Elaeis guineensis (African oil palm). RNAcentral describes it as "long non-coding RNA (EGUI_LNC042343)". The record is from RNAcentral. Lineage: Eukaryota; Viridiplantae; Streptophyta; Magnoliopsida; Arecales; Arecaceae.
GGGCAUUGAAAGAGAAACUAUCCUCAGUACAUUGCCUUUUUGGAUCUGAACAGGUUGAAUAAGAAGAAGCAAGCAAUUGCUCGGCAAGGUAUUUAUAUGAUAACUCCUUGCAACUUUUCUAUUUAUGAUUCUACUACCUGGAUAUUAGAUUCUAAAAAUUCUAUUAACAUAUGUAAUUCAUUGCAGGAUCUAUAGAUCAGUAGGAGAUUUGAAGAAGAUGAGAGAUUUCUUAAUAUUGGAGAUGGA